GAUGGACAUUGCAAAGAGUGGCGAACGGGUGAGUAACACGUGGGAAACCUACCUCUUAGCAGGGGAUAACAUUUGGAAACAGAUGCUAAUACCGUAUAACAAUGACAACCGCAUGGUUGUUAUUUGAAAGAUGGUUCUGCUAUCACUAAGAGAUGGUCCCGCGGUGCAUUAGCUAGUUGGUAAGGUAAUGGCUUACCAAGGCGAUGAUGCAUAGCCGAGUUGAGAGACUGAUCGGCCACAAUGGGACUGAGACACGGCCCAUACUCCUACGGGAGGCAGCAGUAGGGAAUCUUCCACAAUGGGCGAAAGCCUGAUGGAGCAACGCCGCGUGUGUGAUGAAGGGUUUCGGCUCGUAAAACACUGUUGUAAGAGAAGAAUGACAUUGAGAGUAACUGUUCAAUGUGUGACGGUAUCUUACCAGAAAGGAACGGCUAAAUACGUGCCAGCAGCCGCGGUAAUACGUAUGUUCCAAGCGUUAUCCGGAUUUAUUGGGCG
Molecule: ribosomal RNA, 495 nt
Filed under: Weissella confusa
Lineage: Bacteria; Bacillati; Bacillota; Bacilli; Lactobacillales; Lactobacillaceae
Description: bacterial SSU rRNA
Rfam family: Bacterial small subunit ribosomal RNA
Source: RNAcentral